CAACCGUGCUUGUUUAGUUUUGUGUUCUUUCCGAUCGAGGGUUGUAGAAUGCGCUUUCUAGAUUCCUUGCGCCGAUUCUAGAUUAGAUGCUUACCCGAAGAUUGACAAUGAGUUCAGCGUCCGCACGGUCAGCGGCGCGGCAUUAACGCUCGUCAGUUCGAUUGUGAUUGUGGUGCUGGUGAUAGGCGAAAUAAAUGCCUACCUUUCUCCUAACGUAAUGACACGCGGGCAUAAGCUUAAAAUUAAUUUAGAUUUUACCAUACCGAGGAUAUCGUGUGAAUAUGUAUCACUGGAUGCGCAAGAUUCAACGGGAGAGCAGCAUCUGCACAUCGAACAUAACAUCUACAAACGAAGACUGGAUCUGCAAGGCAAUCAGAUCGAAGAACCAAAGAAAGAGGACAUUCAAGCGUCGACGAAGCGCAUAUCGAGUACAGAGGCACCGGCCAUUUAACUUUCAAACAAUUAGUGGAAAGUUAUAAAUAUGAAAAAAAAACCUAACUGAAGAAGAGCGAGUGGUUGAAAAUCGUGAAAAAAGUCGCAGAAAAACAUUGCUUGAAAGAGAACGAAAAAGAAAAGAGAUGGUAGAACCUAUCGCAUUACCUACGGUAUGCGUUAUCUCCGAUUUAUCCGAACUUUCGUCUCCGGCCACGUCAAUCGCCUCGUCUCCUGAAUCCACGAACUCAGAGUUUGAGUUUGACUCAGACUCGCAAUAUCCGCCACCGCAGCAACAACAGCACCAGGACCACGGUGUGCCACCAACGAUGGUGGCCACGAUGGCACCUCCACCAACACCACCUCCACCGCAACGACAGCAUCUGCACUUCCCGAUAACCAGCGUGGUGCAGUUAACGUCAUUUGAGCGGGAGGCGAGAAUAGACAGAGUGGAAAUUUCAAAUAUUAUAGCAAAUUAUUUAUUAAGGAAUAGGGCGAAAGAACAUAAUGUUAGUUUUAAUAAUAAGUUUUCCAACAUGAUACGUCAGAAAAAAGGAGGUGCCAAAAUGGUUAGGGUAAUAAUGCGGGAUUUAUUUACAGGCGAUUUUGUAAGGGAAUGUGUGUGGGAGCGUCCCCAAAAUGGGAAAAAUGUGUGCCUUAGUAAUUACAGUAACCUCUGGUGGGCCAUACAUGAUGCUAUCUGCAUAUCUUUUAGAUAUGCAGAUUCAUUUGAAGAGUUCAAAAAACAAUGGAAAACAAUCACAACCAGUUGGUACGAUACCGAUUAAGUUAAGUUUAUUCUCUUAUGUUAUAUAUUUUAAGUUUAGUCCAAGUUUUAGUUUAAGUUUAGUUAUUUUAAGUUUAAUUUAGUUUAGUUAAGUAGUCUUCGUUUAGUUAAGUUUAGUUUAGUUAAGUUUUUUAAGUUAAGUUAGUUUAGUUAAGUUAAGUUUAGUUAAGUAGUUUAGUUAAGUAGUCUUAGUUAAGUUAUUCGAGUCUUCAAAUUCUUGAACUUUUCAUAGAUGAGCUCACAAUCUUUUCAUUGAGUCAAGAAUUUUCAUAGAUGAGCUCACAAUCUUUUCACCGCUCCCUUGCGCACGGUCGAAUGAACCGCUUCGUAUCGAACUAUUUCGAUGCGCACAGUUUUCAUACGAUCGGCGUCGAGUUCCUCAACAAAGACUUACAAGUGGACCGCUGCAAGUGAGUACGGUGAUUAUGAUGAUGACGAUCGGCACUUUGUGAAGCUUCGGUAGCGUGCGUAGGCACGCCCAAACCUUGUCUGUCAGAGGAUUGCGUGUGGUGCCAGGCAGAUGGAUCUCUCGCUGGUCCCACAGUCCACGAGAGAUCUUUCGAUUGUUGACGGUGAGUCAAUGUGCGGGGGGAGUAAACAUUUCUCGUAGCCUAAUUUGACACGAUCCAAGAUGUCAGCCCGAUUCGAGCGGCAGGAGAUCGCGAGUAAGAAGUAAACAAGAAAGUUGCAAGGGCGCGACAGUGUUCGACACAAAGACCCCUGAGCUGUGGGGACGUGUUCGUGGGAGAGAAGGCCACCGGUCAGCCGCCAGAAGGAACGGCCAGCUGGCGCCUCUCUCCGGCCGGCCAGCAACACUCACUUUGCCCAAUCAGUAUGCAGGCCUGAAUUGAACAACGCUAAACAACAACUGGUCUAAACUUGUUAAACCAAUGUACCAAACAAAAACUGGCUUUCGAUUCGUUACCAAAAUGCCCGUUGAAUUAAGCAAAAGUUGAGAAGAUAAUUAAUUGAUAGACAAACGACGAUUUAUUUCAAUGUAAUAGAAUGUUAUAGUGCUGCAGGCAUCAGUUUCGGAUAUUUCAGUUCUAAUCUAAUAGCUUCGGUGCUAUUUUUUUCAAUUUGCCAUUACUGAUUGAAAUUAAUCAAUGGUACUUAAUAUCAAGG
Anopheles bellator is the source of this 2344-nucleotide long non-coding RNA. RefSeq lists it as uncharacterized. Lineage: Eukaryota; Metazoa; Arthropoda; Insecta; Diptera; Culicidae. The transcript is spliced from 4 exons. The record is from RefSeq and is a predicted model, not a curated record.